RNAcentral lists this ribosomal RNA (465 nucleotides) under uncultured bacterium. RNAcentral describes it as "partial 16S ribosomal RNA". It matches the Rfam family "Bacterial small subunit ribosomal RNA", at positions 28 to 507 of the family's 1533-position model. The record is from RNAcentral.
GAUGAACGCUGGCGGCGUACUUAACACAUGCAAGUCGAACGGAAAGGCUCCUGCUUGCAGGGGUACUCGAGUGGCGAACGGGUGAGUAACACGUGGGUGAUCUGCCCUGCACUUCGGGAUAAGCCUGGGAAACUGGGUCUAAUACCGGAUAGGACGAUGGUUUGGAUGCCAUUGUGGAAAGUUUUUCGGUGUGGGAUGAGCUCGCGGCCUAUCAGCUUGUUGGUGGGGUAAUGGCCUACCAAGGCGUCGACGGGUAGCCGGCCUGAGAGGGUGUACGGCCACAUUGGGACUGAGAUACGGCCCAGACUCCUACGGGAGGCAGCAGUGGGGAAUAUUGCACAAUGGGCGCAAGCCUGAUGCAGCGACGCCGCGUGGGGGAUGACGGCCUUCGGGUUGUAAACUCCUUUCGCUAGGGACGAAGCGCAAGUGACGGUACCUGGAGAAGAAGCACCGGCUAACUACGUG